Molecule: ribosomal RNA, 440 nt
Filed under: uncultured bacterium
Lineage: Bacteria
Description: partial 16S ribosomal RNA
Rfam family: Bacterial small subunit ribosomal RNA
Source: RNAcentral
CCUACGGGAGGCAGCAGUGGGGAAUAUUGCACAAUGGGGGGAACCCUGAUGCAGCGACGCCGCGUGAGUGAAGAAGUAUUUCGGUAUGUAAAGCUCUAUCAGCAGGGAAGAAAAUGACGGUACCUGACUAAGAAGCCCCGGCUAACUACGUGCCAGCAGCCGCGGUAAUACGUAGGGGGCAAGCGUUAUCCGGAUUUACUGGGUGUAAAGGGAGCGUAGACGGUUAUGCAAGUCUGAAGUGAAAGCCCAGGGCUCAACCAUGGGACUGCUUUGGAAACUGUAGAACUGGAGUGCAGGAGAGGUAAGCGGAAUUCCUGGUGUAGCGGUGAAAUGCAUAGAUAUUAGGAGGAACACCAGUGGCGAAGGCGGCUUACUGGACUGUAACUGACGUUGAGGCUCGAAGGCGUGGGGAGCAAACAGGAUUAGAUACCCGAGUAGUC